UACGUAGGGUGCAAGCGUUAAUCGGAAUUACUGGGCGUAAAGCGUGCGCAGGCGGUUAUGUAAGACAGGUGUGAAAUCCCCGGGCUUAACCUGGGAACUGCAUUUGUGACUGCAUAGCUAGAGUACGGUAGAGGGGGAUGGAAUUCCGCGUGUAGCAGUGAAAUGCGUAGAUAUGCGGAGGAACACCGAUGGCGAAGGCAAUCCCCUGGACCUGUACUGACGCUCAUGCACGAAAGCGUGGGGAGCAAAACGG
RNAcentral lists this ribosomal RNA (253 nucleotides) under uncultured bacterium. RNAcentral's name for it is "partial 16S ribosomal RNA". It matches the Rfam family "Bacterial small subunit ribosomal RNA", at positions 524 to 776 of the family's 1533-position model. The record is from RNAcentral.